CUAUGGUUUCCGGUGUUCGGUCCAUUUCGCCCCAAACGGAGCGAAAGGAUAAUAGGGAACACGGAAGGAACGGACGCAGACCGCGCGUUCCCCACCGUGGCCGCCCCCGCGACUGUCAGCGGUGAGCGCCCGUCCAAGAACCACUGAUUCGCUCAUCUUGCGGAUCGGGAAGGUGGACGAUGCGCAUCGACCCGCAAGCCAGGAGACCUGCCGAACGCGAACGACCCAU
Molecule: non-coding RNA, 229 nt
Filed under: Fulvimarina pelagi
Lineage: Bacteria; Pseudomonadati; Pseudomonadota; Alphaproteobacteria; Hyphomicrobiales; Aurantimonadaceae
Also listed under: 1 other name
Source: RNAcentral